CUUAAGGGCUAUGUUGAGGACACAAGAGCAAUACUUAUGGAUAAUAACUGGUCAGUCCAGACAACAGUUUGCUGGGGACAAAGAGACCGCUGGUUAAGCUUUGAUGGUGUAGAAGAUUUCUGCAAGGAAUCAAAGCAUCGACUAGUUGAACUUCCUAUGUCAGGACAUCACGUUCAGGAGGAUAGUGGUGAAGAAUUAGGUCAACUCAUUGCUGGAAUUGUUGGAAAGAGAAGCAGUUUGUGAUUGUCAUAAGAUCUAAUCUAUGGGUUAAAUGGG
Molecule: unclassified non-coding RNA, 276 nt
Filed under: Hevea brasiliensis (rubber tree)
Lineage: Eukaryota; Viridiplantae; Streptophyta; Magnoliopsida; Malpighiales; Euphorbiaceae
Source: RNAcentral